UACGUAGGGUGCGAGCGUUGUCCGGAAUUACUGGGCGUAAAGAGCUCGUAGGUGGUUUGUCGCGUUGUUCGUGAAAUCUCACGGCUUAACUGUGAGCGUGCGGGCGAUACGGGCAGACUUGAGCACUGCAGGGGAGACUGGAAUUCCUGGUGUAGCGGUGGAAUGCGCAGAUAUCAGGAGGAACACCGGUGGCGAAGGCGGGUCUCUGGGCCGAUAUUGACGCUGAGGAGCGAAAGCGUGGGGAGCAAACAGG
Molecule: ribosomal RNA, 253 nt
Filed under: uncultured bacterium
Lineage: Bacteria
Description: partial 16S ribosomal RNA
Rfam family: Bacterial small subunit ribosomal RNA
Source: RNAcentral